AGUGAACGCUGGCGGCAGGCCUAACACAUGCAAGUCGAACGGCAGCACAGUAAGAGCUUGCUCUUACGGGUGGCGAGUGGCGGACGGGUGAGGAAUACAUCGGAAUCUACUUUUUCGUGGGGGAUAACGUAGGGAAACUUACGCUAAUACCGCAUACGACCUACGGGUGAAAGCAGGGGAUCUUCGGACCUUGCGCGAUUGAAUGAGCCGAUGUCGGAUUAGCUAGUUGGCGGGGUAAAGGCCCACCAAGGCGACGAUCCGUAGCUGGCCUGAGAGGAUGAUCAGCCACACUGGAACUGAGACACGGUCCAGACUCCUACGGGAGGCAGCAGUGGGGAAUAUUGGACAAUGGGCGCAAGCCUGAUCCAGCCAUACCGCGUGGGUGAAGAAGGCCUUCGGGUUGUAAAGCCCUUUUGUUGGGAAAGAAAAGCAGCAGGUUAAUACCCCGCUGUUCUGACGGUACCCAAAGAAUAAGCACCGGCUAACUUCGUG
This 492-nucleotide ribosomal RNA is filed under the name uncultured bacterium. RNAcentral describes it as "partial 16S ribosomal RNA". It matches the Rfam family "Bacterial small subunit ribosomal RNA", at positions 29 to 507 of the family's 1533-position model. The record is from RNAcentral.